Long non-coding RNA from Myotis davidii, 479 nucleotides. RefSeq lists it as uncharacterized. Lineage: Eukaryota; Metazoa; Chordata; Mammalia; Chiroptera; Vespertilionidae. The transcript has 3 exons. The record is from RefSeq and is a predicted model, not a curated record.
GUGCCCUGACUGGGAAUCGAACCGUGGCCUCCUAGUUCAUAUGUUGACACUCAGCCACUAAGCCACGCAGGCCAAGCAAUUCUUCUUGAUUUUCAACCUGCUUUGUUAAGUUAUAAAAUGCAUUACCUGGGAGAUAGUCUUUCUAUACAUACUAUAGCUAACAAUUAUUCUCAUUUGGGCCUUUGCAGGAUUGUUACUUAUAGCACUCAUGCUCUAGGCCAGUGGUGGGGAACGCCCCGUCUGUGGGCCAUAAAAGCCCCACGAAGUCAUUUGGUCUGGCCCUGCCAAGGCAUUAGGGCUAAAUAACUAUAUAUACAUUGAAAAACCUUUAAACAGGAAAGUCAAAAAGCUAAUAUCAAAGCAGCAAAGAAUCUCUUGCUAGAUCUUGUUCAGAUUGUGUUGCGGAGUGGAAUAGUUGAGAGAAUUUUAGGUGUACAACAUAGUGAUUAGACGUUUAUAUAUCUUAUGAAGUGAUGACC